Molecule: ribosomal RNA, 461 nt
Filed under: uncultured bacterium
Lineage: Bacteria
Description: partial 16S ribosomal RNA
Rfam family: Bacterial small subunit ribosomal RNA
Source: RNAcentral
CCUACGGGGGGCAGCAGUGAGGAAUAUUGGUCAAUGGACGCAAGUCUGAACCAGCCAAGUAGCGUGCAGGAUGACGGCCCUCCGGGUUGUAAACUGCUUUUAGUUGGGAAUAAAAGGGGGCUCGUGAGCCCCGUAUUGUAUGUACCAUCAGAAAAAGGACCGGCUAAUUCCGUGCCAGCAGCCGCGGUAAUACGGAAGGUCCGGGCGUUAUCCGGAUUUAUUGGGUUUAAAGGGAGCGUAGGCCGGCUUUUAAGUCAGCGGUAAAAAUGCGGUGCUCAACGCCGUACAGCCGUUGAAACUGGCAGUCUUGAGUGGGCGAGAAGUAUGCGGAAUGCGUGGUGUAGCGGUGAAAUGCAUAGAUAUCACGCAGAACUCCGAUUGCGAAGGCAGCAUACCGGCGCCCGACUGACGCUGAGGCACGAAAGCGUGGGUAUCGAACAGGAUUAGAUACCCGGGUAGUC